AGAGUUUGAUCAUGGCUCAGGACGAACGCUGGCGGCGUGCUUAACACAUGCAAGUCGAACGGAAAGGCCCUUCGGGGUACUCGAGUGGCGAACGGGUGAGUAACACGUGGGUGAUCUGCCCUGCACUUUGGGAUAAGCCUGGGAAACUGGGUCUAAUACCGAAUAGGACCACGCGCUUCAUGGUGUGUGGUGGAAAGCUUUUGCGGUGUGGGAUGGGCCCGCGGCCUAUCAGCUUGUUGGUGGGGUAAUGGCCUACCAAGGCGACGACGGGUAGCCGGCCUGAGAGGGUGACCGGCCACACUGGGACUGAGGUACGGCCCAGACUCCUACGGGAGGCAGCAGUGGGGAAUAUUGCACAAUGGGCGCAAGCCUGAUGCAGCGACGCCGCGUGAGGGAUGACGGCCUUCGGGUUGUAAACCUCUUUCAAUAGGGACGAAGCGCAAGUGACGGUACCUAUAGAAGAAGCACCGGCCAACUACGUGCCAGCAGCCGCGGUAAUACGUAGGGUGCGAGCGUUGUCCGGAAUUACUGGGCGUAAAGAGCUCGUAGGUGGUUUGUCGCGUUGUUCGUGAAAACUCACAGCUUAACUGUGGGCGUGCGGGCGAUACGGGCAGACUAGAGUACUGCAGGGGAGACUGGAAUUCCUGGUGUAGCGGUGGAAUGCGCAGAUAUCAGGAGGAACACCGGUGGCGAAGGCGGGUCUCUGGGCAGUAACUGACGCUGAGGAGCGAAAGCGUGGGGAGCGAACAGGAUUAGAUACCCUGGUAGUCCAA
RNAcentral lists this ribosomal RNA (773 nucleotides) under uncultured bacterium. RNAcentral's name for it is "bacterial SSU rRNA". It matches the Rfam family "Bacterial small subunit ribosomal RNA", at positions 8 to 798 of the family's 1533-position model. The record is from RNAcentral.